GCCUCUUCCACUGGGAAGCGAUGGGGGAUAGUCGGCGGAUCCGCUCUGACUUCAGCAGUCGGGGCCGACUGAUCUUCGGUAGCCGGCUCUGCGUCUUCUUCGGCUUCCGCCCUGGUGGAAAGGCCUUCCGACACUGGUUCGGCCGUCUCCUCCGCAGCUGGGGCCUCCGACUCUGGCAGAACUACGCUGCUGAGAUCAAGUUCCGGAUACAGGCCUCGAACGGCUUCUCGAGCAUCCUCGUACCCGACCCGGUACGAG
RNAcentral lists this long non-coding RNA (258 nucleotides) under Elaeis guineensis (African oil palm). Its description in RNAcentral is "long non-coding RNA (EGUI_LNC031480)". The record is from RNAcentral. Lineage: Eukaryota; Viridiplantae; Streptophyta; Magnoliopsida; Arecales; Arecaceae.